GCUGCUGGUUGAGAGUACUAAGCAUAGCACCUCUCCAGGACACCCCAGGAUGAAGAAUGGAGCUGUGGCGGCCUCCCCGCGAAGGGCACCCUCUGGGGGAUGUCAGUCAGGGGCCCUGCCAAGCUCAGCGGGCAGUUCUUCCUGGCCCUGUCCUGCUUUCCUUGAGCCCCCAUCGAUCUGUGCGUCCCUGUGCUCUGCUGGCCCGAAGGACCUUCCAGAGGCUAAAGGAGGCAGGGCCCAGGCUGCCAGAGCUCUGGACUCCUCCUGCCCCAUGAGUGUAGGCUGGAGUCUGCCUUUGGGAGUGCUCGGAGGGGUCCACUGAGGCCUAGGAAGGGAACCUGCCCCAGCCCCAUCUCUGACCAAGACUCUGCCAGCCCACUCUGAUCCAGGGCCAUGAGGUAGGUCCGGGCAGGGCAUUCAGUUCAGAAGUGGCUGGACUGUGUUCCAACGGCAGGGCCACUUCCCUGUUCUUGGGAAGUGGAGGGGGUGGGCGGAGAAGCCUCCAGGCCAGCCCAGAAGGGAAGCCAGCCUCUGCUGAGGGGUGCCUCCAGGUCUUGGUCAGCUCACCUCACACACCCUGUGUGCUCUGGGUGCCCAGAGCCAAGCCAACUGUGCUGCCAGGAAUGUCCUGGAGAGGUGCUGUGCUUGGUACUCUCAACCAGCAGCUGGGACACCCAGUCUGGUGUGGAAGACAUCCCAAGCACUCUGUGGCUGCUCAGUCUGGACCAGGGUGCAGGGAACAAUGCACCUGUGUCCACAACUUUUCCCAGGUGAGCACUGGGCCGUGUGUACAUCGUCCAGCUGGCCCCAGAGCGGGCACCCUUGCUGCAAGCCUCCUCUUUCCCCCAGCCCCUGACGCACUGCAAAGAGCCAGGCUAUCCCAGCCGCCUUGGGGUCACCAGGACUCACGGCUCGAGGCUGUCCACAGCACACCUGCUUGUGUCCUCGCUGCCUUCUGGAGCCCUCCAAGGACCUGCUGGAGCUGAUGGUGCUGCAGGACUGAGCAGUGCCAGGAAGAGGAGAAGAAGAACCACAGGGUCCCUCAGGGUCUGAUGGGGCCGGGGCCAGGGGCAGGGGUGAUCUGCCCUUUGGAGUCCUGACUGACCGCUGCUGCCAACCCCUGUCCGCAUCUGCUCAGGAGUCCAGGCACACAUCCACCAGUUAUUGGCAGACACAACAUCUUUGUUGGUAUGGGGUGCUGAGGAUCGAACCCGGGCCGCACGCCUGCCAGGCAGCAGGUGUCCCCAAGCCCAGCACCUGGGAGCCAAGGCCGCCCCACUCACCACCCUGUGCCGUCUGCACACAAGCGUCUUCCGUUUCUUCGAAGCCUUCAGGACACACGCAGACGAAGCUCCCCGGGGUGUUGUAGCAGUUCUCGUUUUUCCUCUUACAGGCUUUUUCUGCUAGUGAGCAUUCGUCUACAUCUGAAAUAAAAACGUCCAGUUUCCAUAAAUCACUUCUUUUAGCAAAUACACACCAGAGACCAUGAAAUCCACCCCGGGAGGUCCAGGGGUUGCGUGUCAGAGACAGGAGUGACGGAGAUCAGGAGAGGCUUCAAGGGAGAGGCCAGGCCCCUGACUGCAGGAAACAAGAGACACCAGGCAGUGUGUAGGCAGGAAGCCUGGGACACCACCGUGAGUGGCCUGGAGCCAAGGGCUGAGCACCCCCAGCCUCAGCACUCAGGGCUACAACUGGCCACCAUCCCCCGGUCCCCACCCAGGAAAGGUGGAGGACCUGUCUGCAGGAAAAGGAGAGCAAUUUCCCAUCCACUGGGGUGAUGGUUCCUUAGGGCUCACAGUGGUCCCUGGGGAGGUCCCAUCUUCGGCAGAAACGAGCUCACUGACCUGCACACUGGCCAUCCUCUUUCGAGUAGCCAGAGACACACUGUUUACACUUUGCUGGGCCUUUUCCCGUGCAGCCCACACAGGUGGAGUCACACUCUAGAAACGAGGAGGGAAGGGACGUCAGACCACCUUCCACGCCAGUGCAGGGCCUGAGCCACACUGAUGAGGGUCAGAGGCGCCCACAGAGGUGGGAAUUCAGGUUUUUCCCUCAUCAACCACUGGAGUGACUUUGUAAUGACCACCUGUGACCGUCAAACUCCCAAAGAGCCGAGAGAAAGCACUCCGGGCAGGAGAAGCACGGAAUACAACAGUCCUCCCCAAGUCUCUUGCUGAAGUGGAAACAGGACUUGAACUUUUCCCAAAGUCACCUCAAGAUGGGUGACAGAAAUUUGUCCGUCCAGGAGGAACCUGGGAAAAUCUCUGCUGGGGACUACAAGGUCUCCAGUGUGACCUCCUGGUCAGGACCCGGCUGCAACAGCAGAGCUGCAGACAUGGGGGUCUGCGGGGACCAUGAAGCGGCAUGACCUUCUUGGGGACGGAAUGACCCUCCACAUACAUCCCCCUGGCAGGGCAAUUUGAAAACUGAUCCCAGACAACAGUCAAUGUUAAAAGCUUGACCUACAACGGCAGCCGAAGUACGUAAGGGUGAGAAACACACCAGACGGUUCAAGGGAGUGUGGAGAAGGCCGUGCCCCCAGCCCCUCGUGUGACGCACGAGUUGGCAGCAUGCUGCCGAGGGAGGAGGACCAAGGCCUGUGGCAGAGCCAGAGGUGACCGGUGGACCUGAGGUCCAAGAGCCCCCCAGCCCAGAGAGGACGAUGUGCCCACGCCAGACCUUCACACGUGUAGGAGCCAUUGACGUUCUCACAGUACUGCGUCUCACUGCAGGGAGGCGUCUCAGCCGCACACUCAUCCACAUCUGGAACGGAAUAGCAAGGCUGCCUGGGUGGACACCAGUCCCCACAGCCACCAUCCUGAGACCUCCAAGGGCAGGGGUGGGGACGAGGUGGCAGCCUGUCAUGCUGGGCACUUGGCACCAGGUGGACGGGCUGCAGUGGGAGCCAUGACAAGCCUCUGGUACUCGGGCACCUGGGGUCCUCCCCCAGGGUGAAACCUGUGGGGCCACGCCCCCAAUGUGCCUAAGGCUGAGCAGCUGCUGAGAGGAAAGAGCACAACCAAUGCCCACAGACGGGGAGGGCACCACCAAGCACCUGGCUGCAGCAAGGCCAGGCUGGUGCCCGCUCUCCAGGAUGCUACAAAGUGGUUACAGUAGAGGGGGUAACACAAAAGAGGACUGGAGCAGGUGGUGGCCACAGGCAGGCAGGAAACAAGCGGACAAUGGUGUGUCGGCCAGGACAGAGCCUCCCAGCACCACGACGCAGAGCACAGAGCAGGCCUUCAUUGGGGCAGUGCCCCAAGGUGGUCACCUCCCCUGCUGGGCAAGAAGCCAGAGCCGCUGUGAGUCAGGGUGGUGGAAGGUCACAGGCAGCUGGUGGCGGGACGCAGCUCUCCAGGGGAGGUGUGUGCUUCAGUUUCUCUGGGCCUGCACACCAGGACAGAGGUCCCCCCACAGGACCGGCACAGUGGGGUGUCGGCCCAGGGAGGCCCCCAACCCUGCCUGAGAUGGAAGGUGAGCUCUUGGUACAGUCAGCCACCCAGGGGGCAGCUUGGACCAGCAGCUCCCAGCCACCCUGGGCCACUGGCAACAAGGACACUGUGGCAGGGACAGUCCUUCCUAAAACUGUCACACAUCAGCCUCUACCCAGGCCAUGAAAACACCAGAUCACCUUCUCACCAACCAGAACAGGGCAGAGACACAGCAGUGGAUGAGAGCCCGCUACGACCCUCAUGCCCCUGUGGGGUCCCCUGGCCCGGUGCCCUCCUCACCCAGGCAGGUGUCCUCCACGCGCGCCCAGCCCUCUUCACACUCAAGGCAGUCUCUGUUGGUCGGGCCCGAGCAUGUCUUGCAGGACUCGUCACAGGCUGGAAGGCAAAGCAGCUGCGUCAGAAACGCCCUGUAAUCUCUACCCUCCUUUCAGAAAGAGGACCUCGAGUUCAACAGCGGGAUCGGAAGGAAGGAGAACAAAAGUUCCAGGCAAGCAAGAGUGGGUCAGCAGGGGGAUCUGCUCGUGUGGUCCUGGUGUUUACAGACUUCGGGAGGAAAGCAGAAUGCAGGCUCCGGGGGCCUUCAGGACUCCAGAGGGUUUUCAGGCCUGGAGAGGACAGCCACCCGAACUCCAGAGCCCACGGGCUGGGUGGGUACACCCCUAACACUGAGAGAGGAAGACAAGUGCAGGGAUGCGAGGCCUGGCCUCACCUGUCCCCGAGAGGCACCCUGAGCAGAAGUCCAGGAACAGCUCCCCUGGGCCAGGGCGCUGAUGGGGAGAGCUGUGCUGCGGGAGGGAGGGCAGCUUUGCAACCAGUACUGUGCGUGAGAGCCAAGGCCGCACUGCCCUGUGUGACCUGACGGGCAGCUCUGGAGGCUCCCUCAAGGGAGGACCCCUGGGGAAGCCUGCCCAGCCCUGGAGCUGUGGCCAAGCCAGGGUUAGCAGGACCCAUCCGCAGGAAGGGAGCUGCACAGGGACCAGGCAGGGGUCAGGCACCCGAGUGGCCUCCAAGAGUCCUUCUAGUUCCUGUGCAGCCAACUCCUGCAAGGCUCAGCGUGCCUGCUCCCUCCACAUCGCUGUCUUGAGUGGCCAUGAGCACAUCCCGUGUGCCACACUAAGUGCCAAGCCCAAGAACCAAAGGCACCUACCACAGGGGUGACAACCUGCCACUCAACGAGAGACUUCGAGUCCUUCCCAGAAUGGCUCACAGCAGGCAUGAGUAGCUUUUCCUUCUGGGGGCUGUUCAGUGGUGUUUCUCUGGUACUGGGGAUUGAACCCAGGGUGCUUUACCAUUGAGCCCCAGCCCCAGCUCUUUUGUGACAGGGUGUCACUAAGUUGCUCAGGGCCUUGCUAAGCUGCUGAGGCUGGCUUUGAACUUGUGAUCUUCCUGCCUGAGCUUACCAAACUGCUGGGAUUACAGAGGUGCACCCCUGGCCUGGCUCAGGGCUGUUUCUUUUUUUCUUUUGAAUUUCUUUUAGUUGUUGAUGGAUGUGAUAACUUUAUUUAUUUAUUUAUUUUUAUGGGGGGUGGUGAGGAUCAAACCCAGUGCCUCACACAUGCUAGGUAAUUGCUCACCACUGAGCCACAUUCCCCAGCCCAAUUUUGUGUUUUAUUUAGAGACAGGGUGUCACUGAGUUGCUUAGCACUUUGCUUUUGCUGAGGCUGGUUUUGAACUCAUGAUCCUCCUGCCUCAGCCUCCAAAGCGGCUGGGAUUAUAGGCAUGCUGCACUGCACUUGGCUUAAGGGUCAUAUCUUCAGGUCUCCUAAGCUCCCCUGGACACCUGGGGCCAAGGAGUCCCUGGCUGCCCCUGUUGCCACCUCCACAGCUCCCGCAGAGGGCUUCCCACAGCCUCACUGUCAGGUGGGCUGGGCAGCACACUGGCACUGGGCCUACCUGUGCAGAUGUUGUGGGUCUCAUUCCUCAGUGAGCUGAAGUAGCUGCUCACACAGUCCUUGCAGAGCGGUCCCUGGUAUCCGAUGUGGCACUGACAGGACCCAUCCCCCUGUCUGCUGCCAUCUCCGUUGCAGUGGCCAUUUCCGCUGCAGGGCCUCUUAGAGCCCCCCUGGCAUGCUGGGGUGGGGGAAUGACAAAAAUCCAUGCUCAGCACACACCCAGGGGCAGCUAGUGGGAAAACUCCAGGACACCCCUCAAGUUACUUUUAACCAAAGAGUGUUUGGAUUUCUCACUAAAAUCCAAGCCCUGCACAUUCCUGCUAAUAGAUAAGCCUGCAAGUUUGCUUAUGGCACCUGGAGACACCAGCCUCCAGGGGCUGACAGGGCUGAUGCUGGAUUACCUGCACAGGAACAAGCCACAUCUCCUGGUUUCAUUACAAAGCAUGACUUUGGGAAGAUUCAAGGUUGCCUGUGCAUAGGUGGCGGGACCCCCAGGAGGCAUGUGCGUCCAGCACGCAGCCAGGGAAAGUGGGAGAGAUGGGUGGAAGUGGCUGUAGCACUGGAGGCAGGGUGUGAACAUGAACUGCCACCUAACCCAGCCUGACUAACAUGACUGGCUUCUAUAACCCAACAGUAAGUUGCAGCUCCAAUUUCAACGAGUGCUUCACAUCAGGGCCAGUGGACAACCCAGCCACAGUCCUCUGCAGUGUGGGGGCUGCUGAGUCUGUGAUCCUUGCACCAAAAGAGCACUGGAACUGACUCAGAGUUCUGCAGUCCGAGGGAGAACUUCUCUGCAGCUAAGCAGAGAUGCUGCUCCCCCAGGGCAGGUGUUGGAGGGUCCCUGCUGCACACAGGAGGCAGGGUCCCACAUACCAGCUAAUGCAGCUAAAGCAGCCCAGGACCCCUGUGGGCUUUUAAACACUUGGGAACCAGAAAGAAACUAGAGGAAUGAUGUAGACUUGAAAUCUCCCCAAGAACAUACCACUGCAGUCUGGCCCAUAGGUGCCUGGAGAACAGCACACUUUCAGUGUCUGCACACAGAACCACUCGAACAGGUCAGGGUACUUCUUCUUCCUAAUGGUUUGAAAAUGUCCAUUGAAUGCAGCAUCAAAGAACACUUGCUUCCCUUAUCCUGUGGGAGAUGUUUCAAGGGGCAAGUGGACAUGUGGACCCUGGAGUACCAAGCCCUCUAAAUGUGUUUUUUACCUACAGAUGCAAACCUAUGAUGAGGUUCAAUUUGUAAUCAGACACAGUGAAAGAUUAGCAAUAACAAUGAUUUUAAAAAUACUGUAACAAGAACUUAGUAAAAUAUAUGAAUUGCUCUUUUCUGGG
This is a long non-coding RNA of Marmota monax (woodchuck), 6676 nucleotides long. RefSeq lists it as uncharacterized. The transcript is spliced from 5 exons. The record is from RefSeq and is a predicted model, not a curated record. Lineage: Eukaryota; Metazoa; Chordata; Mammalia; Rodentia; Sciuridae.